GAUGAAGAACGUAGCGAAAUGCGAUAAGUAGUGUGAAUUGCAGAAUUCAGUGAAUCAUCGAAUCUUUGAACGCACAUCGCGCCCUUUGGUAUUCCUUAGGGCAUGCCUGUUCGAGCGUCAUUUAAACCUUCAAGCUAAGCUUGGUGUUGGGUGACUGUCCGCUUCACGGCGGACUCGCCUCAAAAUUAUUGGCGGCCGGUACAUUGGCUUCGAGCGCAGCAGAAACGCGAACUCGGGCCCGUCGUAUUGGCUCCCAGAAGCUAUCUUCACAAUUUUGACCUCGGAUCAGGUAGGGAUACCCGCUGAACUUAAGCAUAUCAAUAAGCGGAGGA
RNAcentral lists this unclassified non-coding RNA (332 nucleotides) under soil metagenome. RNAcentral's name for it is "partial contains 5.8S ribosomal RNA, internal transcribed spacer 2, and large subunit ribosomal RNA". The stretch from base 1 to 120 matches the Rfam family "5.8S ribosomal RNA", at positions 35 to 154 of the family's 154-position model. The record is from RNAcentral.